RNAcentral lists this long non-coding RNA (584 nucleotides) under Lathyrus oleraceus (garden pea). RNAcentral describes it as "Pisum sativum (pea) long non-coding RNA (PSAT_LNC038841)". Lineage: Eukaryota; Viridiplantae; Streptophyta; Magnoliopsida; Fabales; Fabaceae. The record is from RNAcentral.
UAAUGCUUAAACGUUAACAUGGGGUUUACAAUGAAUAAAAUGGCUAAGGCUCAACGGGGUUUACGAAGGGAAACAUACAUAUAGGGAUGGCUAGAAAGGCCCUGGCUAAACAAACAACUUGCCUCAGUGUGUGUUGUCAUGCUGUGACGUGUCAACAGGACAUACGCAAAAUCAGAGUGAUAAAGUCAUACCUGGCUGAACUCUCAUGUUGAUAUUUCGUGUUUGGCUUUUUGUGAUCUCACCAUGUUGGUUAGCUUGCAAGCUCUGAAAUCUCUUCGUGUUAUGUGGUUCUUUCCUGACUUGGUCUUUCCAUACCGCUUUCUUGGUCCGGUGUCCCCAAAAUGUGUCCGACUUCUUUUCUCAAGGUUGAAUCAACUUCCGGGGUGCCUUAUCAGCCUAAGUUUGAGGAGUGUCAUUCAUCCACUACCAUUGAUCCCGGGCUCGUCCAACCGUUUCUCAUCACCCUGUACACACAGUAGGUCAAAAAGAACAGAAAACAAACAAAACAAACAAACAUACUAAUAUAGUGAUAACAUAACAAAAACAAAACAAAUUGAAAAAAAUUAAAACAUGAAAUGAGAAAA